UACAUGCAAGUCGAGGGGCAGCAUGAACUGUAGCAAUACAGUUUGAUGGCGACCGGCAAACGGGUGCGGAACACGUACACAACCUUCCUUGAACUGGAGAAUAGCCUCUCGAAAGAGAGAUUAAUACUCCGUAACAUAAUGAAGUGGCAUCACUUUAUUAUUAUAGAUACGUCGGUUCAAGAUGGGUGUGCGGCUGAUUAGGUAGUUGGUGAGGUAACGGCUCACCAAGCCAACGAUCAGUAGCUGAUGUGAGAGCAUGAUCAGCCACACGGGCACUGAGACACGGGCCCGACUCCUACGGGAGGCAGCAGUAAGGAAUAUUGGUCAAUGGACGCAAGUCUGAACCAGCCAUGCCGCGUGAAGGAUGAAGGCCCUCUGGGUUGUAAACUUCUUUUAUCUGGGACGAAAUCCCCCUUUCUAGGGGAGUUGACGGUACCAGAGGAAUAAGCACCGGCUAAC
RNAcentral lists this ribosomal RNA (459 nucleotides) under uncultured bacterium. RNAcentral's name for it is "bacterial SSU rRNA". It matches the Rfam family "Bacterial small subunit ribosomal RNA", at positions 52 to 501 of the family's 1533-position model. The record is from RNAcentral.